Molecule: small RNA, 202 nt
Filed under: Aspergillus rambellii
Lineage: Eukaryota; Fungi; Ascomycota; Eurotiomycetes; Eurotiales; Aspergillaceae
Description: A. fumigatus sRNA Afu_182
Rfam family: A. fumigatus sRNA Afu_182
Source: Rfam by way of RNAcentral
UCAUGAACAACGCAAAAUCAACAUUCUUCAAAAAGCGUUCCUACGAGGGGUCUCUUUCCUACGGGAGAGUCAAGAUGCCUAUGAAGUACGGAAAUCGUCUAACAGAAUGGAGAAGGACUGCUCUGCAGAGUAUCGAUCUUGGGUGCAGUGUCUACCUGGCUUUCGGGCUCGGUGGGAGGGACUGCAAUGAUUGAUUCUACAA